AGUGAACGCUGGCGGUAGGCCUAACACAUGCAAGUCGAACGGCAGCACAGUAAGAGCUUGCUCUUACGGUUGGCGAGUGGCGGACGGGUGAGGAAUACAUCGGAAUCUACUUUUUCGUGGGGGAUAACGUAGGGAAACUUACGCUAAUACCGCAUACGACCUACGGGUGAAAGCAGGGGAGCUUCGGACCUUGCGCGAUUGAAUGAGCCGAUGUCGGAUUAGCUAGUUGGCGGGGUAAAGGCCCACCAAGGCGACGAUCCGUAGCUGGUCUGAGAGGAUGAUCGGCCACACGGGAACUGAGACACGGUCCAGACUCCUACGGGAGGCAGCAGAGGGGAAUAUUGGACAAUGGGGGCAAGCCUGAUCCAGCCAGACCGCGUGGGUGAAGAAGGCCUUCGGGUGGUAAAGCCCGUUUGUUGGGAAAGAAAAGCAGCAGGUUAAUACCCCGCUGUUCGGACGGUACCCAAAGAAUAAGCACCGGCUAACUUCGU
This 491-nucleotide ribosomal RNA is filed under the name uncultured bacterium. RNAcentral's name for it is "partial 16S ribosomal RNA". It matches the Rfam family "Bacterial small subunit ribosomal RNA", at positions 29 to 506 of the family's 1533-position model. The record is from RNAcentral.